This is a long non-coding RNA of Ailuropoda melanoleuca (giant panda), 3433 nucleotides long. RefSeq lists it as uncharacterized. The transcript has 4 exons. The record is from RefSeq and is a predicted model, not a curated record. NCBI's taxonomy places the organism in Eukaryota, Metazoa, Chordata, Mammalia, Carnivora, Ursidae.
CGAUCCCAGGACCCCCGGGCCACACCCUGAGCCGAAGGCAGACGCCCAACGACUGAGCCACCCAGGCGCCGCUAGAGACGGUUUUAAUUUAAAACUUGAGCUGCUAAUAUAUUUCCUUUUGUAUGAAGUGUGGCUACCUGCACUGUCUUUAUUUGUACGAAAUGGCCUUUAAUAAUCUUCCAUGGUAGUCAAUGAAAAAAUUCUUCCUAUGUUGCCAAUUUAGUGAGCAUAAAUUACCGGGAACUUUAUAUGGAAUAAAUUAUAUUCUUAAGCCUUCUCAGAUGUGCAGCCAAUAGAGAUUUUAAAGCAGAAAACGAAAUGCAAAACUUCGCUCAAAGGGACAUUGGUUGUAUUCGGAACCUUCUCUGGAGUUGCUUUCUCUCUACCCCUGUGAGGGGAUUACAGGGGCUGCAUUCCAACCUGAGGCUUUCUAAGCCACAUGUGGCUCUUCAGAAACCUGCGUGUGGUUUUCUUCUUGGAUUUGAAUAAAGCGACGAGGAAUAUUGCAAAGUGAAUACGGCAGUGGGCCCAAGGAAAAUACGUGAGGAAGUCUGCUUGAGUCACAGACAGGGCAAAGAGGGAAGGUGUCACGGACCCCAAAUGUGCCAUGACCUGACUUUCGUGCUUUUGUCGAGAACCCGGCAUGAUCAUUUUUUUUUUUUGCAAAACCAUUGUAAGUGCAAUUCAUGGGCACUCAUAAAUGCAAGGUAAGUUUAAUUGAUUUGCGGCUUUCCACAUUGCUGACGAUGAAGUGGUGCUUUGGCUGUUGAAAGGUGAGGGGAACUUGAUUUCACUACAGAGAUGAGAUGCCGCAUCCUCUAAACUGACAGAUGAAUAUGCUGCUUCAGAAUUCAUUAUUUGAUGUGAAGGACAAUGGUGAAAAUCUGAAUCUGCUAAACAGUUCAACAGGUCAAAAUACAGACCAUUAAAAGUUAAAUGAAUUGGAACGUUGAAAAUCAUUGGCAAAUACAUUUAUGUGGCAGUUUCUAGCUUCCCUGAUGAUCUUUUUUGCUAGUCUUUUCGGUGUCAUUUUGAGCAUUCCCCCACGCUCUUUCAGCUUAGCUACUACGGUGCCUGACUAGAACUUUGGGUCUAUGCUGUACCUUGACACUGAAUGGAAAAUAACAUCCCUCAGCUAAAGACGCCAAAUGCCUUGAUGGGGGAAUUGAUGCUUUCUCGGUCUUCUACGGAGAGGGUGAGAAAGAGAAGGAUGCUUACCUCCUGGACCUAUGUCUAAUUAGUCUCCCUUCCCAUCCCAAACACAUGGCCAUAUAUAGUUUAUGGACAGAAAAUUACAUUAUAAAACAGCACAGGGUAAUUGUAAUUAGUCAAAACAUGGACGAGUACCUAAAGCCAAUUUUAUCAGUUUCCUCUCCAAUCAGCUCCCCUCCAUGGUUUUAAAAUUAUAUCCAGGGAUUCUCUGAUGUUUCUGUCUUUGAGAGGUGGAGCUUGAUUUUCAGACGUGACCUAGAAUGACUUUGGAGACUAGACAAUAAAAAGCCAAUUGUGGCUUUGGUUUGGAUGCAUAUUCUCUCUUUUUCUUUCUCGUGGAUCUCUGGCUCUGGGAAGUCUUACAGAAAGGCCCACAUGGCAAGGAACUGGAGUCUUUGGUAACAGACAGCAAGGAACACCUAGACCACUUUCCUGCUCAUGGGCACCUCUGUCUUUAUCCAUUAGCAGUAUGGUGGGAUUGUCUGAACAUCUAGAGACAAGAAGUAUGACUAAAGCAUGGUUGGACUUCUCUGCUACCCCAGGAGGAGCCUGGCGAGAUGGGAUACGUUAACAGUGUAUAGGACUGGACUCUGGAGAAGACGUUGAACCUUCAAGCCACUCUCCUCUCAACUCCACGUGGCCUUCCCUCCAGUUUUGGUUCUGCCUUUUGACUGGUCUCUCUUAAUGCAUUUGGAGGCUCGUCUUGCACCACUCAGAGUGACCUCGAUGGAAAUCUGUGUUAUUCAAACGCAUUUGCCUGUGCUUAAUCUGUAUGCAGUGCUGGUCCCAACACAACCGUGUUCAGAAGAGGAACCUUGUCUUUGAUGUUCUACUCUUCUGUAGGCGACAGUUACUCUUUCCCCAAGCCUGGAGUGCAUGGCUAUGGGACAGAUACUUCCUUCUUCAAAUCACAUCCAUUUAUCUGUGUGGGCAAAGUCCAUCAUUUGCAUCCAUCAUCCACUUAUCAUAUUUGGUUUGGGUGGAACUCAUUUCUGACUGUCACACAUAAAAUUCUCCCUAAGCACCAACAAAUUUCCUACAAAUCCAUCAACAGACUACACUCAUAAAUAAACCCUAUCAGCUGAUAUUUGUACAGCACAUUCCUGUUUCUUAAGUUCUUGCAUGUAAACCAUUUCGCCUAAUCAUCAUGGGAGUUCUGGAAAGCAGGAGGGGUGGGUAUGAUUAUUCUCAUACCACAAAUGAUGAAACUGAGAUGGAGUAACCUACUCAAACUGCUAAUUAAUGCAAGCCUUCAGAUUCCAGACCUCAAGUUUUCCCCACUACGUCUCAUUAUCUGAGAUUGGGUGAGGGCUGGAGUGUAGGCUGGAAGCUAAGAAGACAAUUCUGGAAUCAAAUGACAAACCGUUUGAAGAUUGGCUCUGCUGAUUGUCAGUUGUGUCUGUGACCUUGGGCAAAGUUCUUCAUCGCUUACUCAUCUGUGUCAUUGUAAUUAUUCCAUACCUCAUAGGAUUCUUGUGAUUAUUAAAUGGCAUAAUGCAUGGACAGUGCUUAGCAAAGGUUCCAUAUAUGGCCCCAGCUUGAAUAAGCUAAUUAUUGUUAGAGCUGUCAUCGUGUAUCUCUAAAUGUAGCUUCAGCCUCCAGUCACAAUGAGAGAACAAAGAACCGCAUCAUUCAUCUGCAGUGUUCCACGCUUCUGCCUCUGUUAACUGCAACUGGCAGGACCGAUGGGCUGAACAGUCUUAAAGCCUGGCUGUGGCCAUCCAUCUGGACGACUCCAGCAGACCCACGUGUCCUGCGGUUCAACUUUUCAAACCUACCCCAUUUGUAAUUCCUCAGCAGGAUUCUGAGCUCUGCUGGGCAUAUUUCGGUUUUACAGUUAAUCAGAAAGAUUUUGCUCCAAAUUUUCCCUGAGUGUGGGGCUUUAUUAAUGCGAUAUGCCUCAUAGUAGUGAGUGCCUGCUUUUGAGCCAUAUGCCCUGAAUAAGUUAUCAGGUUUCAUUGUUUACCCUUGGUUAAAAAAAAAAAUUCCAUACACUCUGACCUCAUGACACCUAAACCCUGCCCGUGCAGUUAAAACAGGAAAACUAGUCAUCUGAUAUCAUGAAGGCAAAUCAGCUGGUAGACGCGCUCAAAUGUUUCCGUCUCCACCAGUGUGUGGGCAUUGUGGGGAGCCAUAGAUUAUUAAUCAGGAAUGCGCGGGAGAGGAUUUCUGGUUCGUGUGUGUGUGAAUUUCCAAAAUAAACCCAGUACAAAGAGAUACA